AGAGUUUGAUCAUGGCUCAGAUUGAACGCUGGCGGCAUGCCUAACACAUGCAAGUCGAACGCGAAAGGGGGCAACCCUGAGUAGAGUGGCGGACGGGUGAGGAACGCAUCGGAAUUUACCUCGAGAUGGGGGAUAACCAAGGGAAACUUUGGCUAAUACCGCAUGAUCUCGCGAGAGCAAAGAGGGGGACCGCAAGGCCUCUUGUCUUGAGAUGAGCCGAUGUCCGAUUAGCUAGUUGGUAGGGUAAAGGCCUACCAAGGCGACGAUCGGUAGCUGGUCUGAGAGGAUGAUCAGCCACAUUGGGACUGAGACACGGCCCAAACUCCUACGGGAGGCAGCAGUGGGGAAUAUUGGACAAUGGGCGCAAGCCUGAUCCAGCAAUGCCGCGUGUGUGAAGAAGGCCUGCGGGUUGUAAAGCACUUUUGUCCGGAAAGAAAUUGUCCGGGUUAAUACCCUGGAUGGAUGACGGUACCGAAGAAUAG
This 482-nucleotide ribosomal RNA is filed under the name uncultured Lamprocystis sp. RNAcentral describes it as "bacterial SSU rRNA". It matches the Rfam family "Bacterial small subunit ribosomal RNA", at positions 8 to 488 of the family's 1533-position model. Lineage: Bacteria; Pseudomonadati; Pseudomonadota; Gammaproteobacteria; Chromatiales; Chromatiaceae. The record is from RNAcentral.